GGGGAAUUAGCUCAGAUGGUAGAGCGCUCGCUUAGCAUGCGAGAAGUGCCGGGAUCGAUGCCCGGAUUCUCCA
This is a non-coding RNA of Octopus bimaculoides (California two-spot octopus), 73 nucleotides long. The record is from Rfam. NCBI's taxonomy places the organism in Eukaryota, Metazoa, Mollusca, Cephalopoda, Octopoda, Octopodidae.